CCACCAGUGCAGGUCUCCAGAAGGGGCCCCAGCCGGCAAGCUAACGGAGAACGAAGCCAAACCGGCUAGCGCAGAACCGAAAGAAAGGGACCGACGACGUUCGGGAGAAGAGAAGUUUAACGCUCGCCCCGCUCACUUCUGGCGCGUGGCGGUUCGUUUGCAGCGUCGGCGGAGCCAGUUUAGCGGACGCGCGCCGCCAGCUCUGACCCACUUGGACAGGAGACCGUCAAGGGACGUGUGUGUCGCCUGUCCUCCGCAUCGCACGAGCGCCCCACGGAGAAGCAGCCGGAGGGUUCGGCUGCACUGAGAGCGGUUUCACUCUCGGCCCCGACGUUUCGGCGAGAAUCUUGCUCUCCGACUCGCUUUUUCUUAACGGGAGUCUUUUUACCCGUUUUCUCCGUCUGCGGCGAGUUUCAUCCGGAUCUACGGGAGGUUGCGUGCUCCGGCUACGGCUCCGGAGUCAAAGUCCAGGACCUGCUGACGUGUAGGCAGGCUAGGAAACAUGGCUACCUCAAAACUGGUCACGGGGCUGCUGGCCUUGGCUGCCCUGAUGCCUUUGGUCACUUCAGACUUCGUUCAUGAUCGGCCCAUGCACCGGAUCCGGCGGCAGUCGCCGUCAAUCAACGUGCACGAGAUCCCGAAGACGUCGUUCAGCUGCUCCGACAAGCAGGCGGGAGAGUACUACGCCGACCCGGAGGUGCAGUGCCAGGUCUACCACAUCUGCGUGCCGGGCGCCUUCGGCAAGCUGACGAAGAUGUCAUUCGUGUGCCCCAACGGCACCAUCUUCAGCCAGUCGUCGCGCGUGUGCUCGCCCUACGAUCGCGUCUAUUGCGCCCUCGCCGAGCGCUUCUACGAGAACGUGAUGGGCGCCAUCGACACCGACAAGGACUACUACCACAGCCUUCGCGUCGACGCCCCCGUCUUCAACGCCAUCGUGCCGCCGCACGACCAGGACCGCCAAGACAAGCGUAGGCGGCCCGUGAGGCCCGUCGUCGAGUACGACGACGACGCCGACUACGACGCCACCACGGCGUCGCCGCCGCCCCCGACUCCUGCGCAGAGACGACGCAACCAGCAGCAGUCCACCCAGUCCAGCAGGAGGUUCCAGCCGUCGCAUAGGUCCCAGUUCGGCCGCGGUGGAAGCAGGGCUCAGAGCACGACCGCCACCGCCGCCACGACGACCACGACGACAACCACGACCCAGCGGCCUCCCGCUCCAGCCUUCAGGCCAUCGCCCUUCAGGACCCCCGUGAUCCGCGGUCCUCAGCAGAGUUUCACACAGCCACCGACUCAGACGGUCCCGACCUUCGGAACCGCUGCGCCAGCCAUCGUUCAGCCGAACCCCUUCUCGCAGUCCCCAGCGAGAUCGCCCCUCGUUCCGGCCGGCGUCUUCCCAGCUAACUCCGUGAGCGGAGCGGGUACCCCACCCGUCGGCCCUCCGCCGAUCCCCAACAAUGCCGUCGCCGCCGGCGGUAUCGUCCAACAAACGGCCCCGCCAACCCUGCCGCCGCAGCAUCCGCAGAACUUCCCGGGAUCUGCGUUCAGGCUACCACCGCGACAACUCAUCAGGAGGCCCGGUGCCAGCCUCGCCACGACUACCACCACACCACCGCCGUCGACCGCCGAGUACGAAUACUACGACUACGAGGAAGAGACCAAGACCGCCGCUCCCAGGACCAAGCGCGCCGCCGCGGUCCCCGUCAAACUCGUACUCCCACCCAACAGGCAAACCUCUGCUGAGCAGACCAGCUUCAGCUGCCAGGACAAGGUGGCCGGAGGAGUGUACGCCGACCCGGAGACCGACUGCCAACUCUUCCACAUCUGUGUACCCGUCGGCAAGGGCAAGCUGCUAGACUACGGCCUGCUCUGCGACGAAGGAACCGCCUUCAACCAGGAGACCGGCACGUGCGACGAGCGCGACAGCUUCUCGUGCGCGCGCAGCCUGCAGUUCACUCGCACCGACAAGACCAAGAAGUUCCUGGCCGACAAGAAGCCCUGGGCGUUCCCCAAGUUCAACAAGCGAGUCGUGCGCGACGUCGGAGCCCAGGAGGACGUGGAGAGUCGUUCCGCCGAGGUGCGGGAACACGGCGAGGAAGAAGGCCUGCUCGUAGCCGCCGUCGAGCUGCCCGUGACAUCGUUCACCUGCGAGGGCAAGACUGUGGGCGGCUACUACGCGGACGUCGAAACCGGCUGCCGCAUGUUCCACAUCUGCGCCCACACGGACAUGCGCUUCCUGUGCACCAACGGCACGGUGUUCGACCAAAAGGCGCUGGUCUGCAAGAACGAGGACGAGGUCCACUGCGAGGACGCGCCCAAGCACUACGCCAACGGGCUGACGCGGUUCUUGGAGCACCAGAAGCUCAGGCCCGAGGAAGACGCGCGCGAGCAGUCACGGGCCGACGCGUACGAGAUCACCAAGGUCAAGAACAAGUACCCCAAGAAGGUCGGUCAUUACAAACUGCGCAGGUAUCUCUAAAAAAGAGCGUGCGAUAUGGGAGACGGUGACGACGACGAAGCGCCCGCCGUCGCUCGUCACGUUCUCUCACUUUUUUUCCUUGCAGUGAUCGAGCGCUGUCACGUCGUCAACAGGCUUCGGGGCAUUCUUCGAAGGGACCAGCACUCCGAGCUGCGCCGCUAAUUUUCGAUGUGUGAGCUUUGUAUUGCGGAAGGACGCUGUGACAACCAGUACGCUAUACGCCACAGUAAGCCUUCAAGGGCCUCAGCGACUGCUAUUGAACGAAUAUUGUGGAUACUUCCCGGUACAAGGUCCUCAGCGGUGUUAUCAUAUGCUAUGCACUUUAUUGCGGCGGGGCAAUCGAAGUGCAAACACGACUGAAAUUCGCAACCAUUGGUGUGCCGUGCGGUCAGUAAUACCACUGAAGUCUAUGUCUAGAGCACACUAUUCACGCAACAUCCAAGGACGCGCCGCGACGCCGAACAUACGCUCCAUGUGGCUGUCGGUUCCGAAGCGCGCUUACGUAUGCGUAUGAACAGAUGCAACUGUAACCUGGGGAAGGGCACUGCUACCUGGAAGGAGUCUGCAGUUCUACGACGACCAUAAUACCGAUUGCAAGUGUAGAACGCUGCAGUUUCAGUUCAGCGCACCCUGUAACGCAUAGCAGACUGGUCGCCACGCCGUAAUUCUCAAUAAAGCGUGCGCCAACCGGCGUGGACUUCAGUCGAGACGCGGAAAAGCAAGGCGUCGUUGUGCUGCCUACUCCGUUCCCGCCUCCUGGCCGAUGCGCGCAUUCCACGAAGAUGACCGUGCCAGCAUCGGUCGAUUCAUCGCUCUGCCCGACGACGUGUCUGCACACCGCGCUGUCAAGUGCACACCAGCAGCCACCACAACGCGGUGGAGUCAUUUGUUCUGGAUUCGGUACAAGGCCGGCGCAAAAAAAAAUAUAUUCCAAUGCCUAGGAUAUGUUACUCCAGGCACGAUGCCAUACACGAAGCCGCAAAACACGCAUACACUGCGACGACUUGACAAGCGACAAUGGGUUGGGGAGUCCGGACUUGGGGCACGUCAGGUGCGAUCUGCACGCAUUGUGCUGCUUUCACCAAUACUCUGUUUUUUGUUUGUGUCGAGCGUGUUCUGUGUUUCUUUUUUAUGUACAAUAAAAAAAGAAGACACA
RNAcentral lists this unclassified non-coding RNA (3632 nucleotides) under Rhipicephalus microplus (southern cattle tick). RNAcentral's name for it is "uncharacterized LOC119163468, transcript variant X2". The record is from RNAcentral. Lineage: Eukaryota; Metazoa; Arthropoda; Arachnida; Ixodida; Ixodidae.